CAGCUCUGCAAAUCCAACGGCAUCCAGACAACAGCUCUGCCAAACAGCUGAACCUCGAAAACCUCACGCAGGGCAUGCCGCCACAUGCCACCAUUAUCUUAAAGUCUCUACAAUGAAACUGACAUUUUUCAUGGAAAUUAACCCUCAGGGGUCCAUGGACUCGCUGUCAAGUCCACAU
Molecule: long non-coding RNA, 178 nt
Organism: Thalassophryne amazonica
Lineage: Eukaryota; Metazoa; Chordata; Actinopteri; Batrachoidiformes; Batrachoididae
Exons: 3
Source: RefSeq, a predicted model, not a curated record